AACGAACGCUGGCGGCAUGCCUAACACAUGCAAGUCGAACGAGACCUUCGGGUCUAGUGGCGCACGGGUGCGUAACGCGUGGGAACCUGCCCUUAGGUUCGGAAUAACUCCCCGAAAGGGGUGCUAAUACCGGAUAAUGUCUUCGGACCAAAGAUUUAUCGCCUUUGGAUGGGCCCGCGUUGGAUUAGCUAGUUGGUAGGGUAAAAGCCUACCAAGGCGACGAUCCAUAGCUGGGUUGAGAGGAUGAUCAGCCACACUGGGACUGAGACACGGCCCAGACUCCUACGGGAGGCAGCAGUGGGGAAUAUUGGACAAUGGGCGAAAGCCUGAUCCAGCAAUGCCGCGUGAGUGAUGAAGGCCUUAGGGUUGUAAAGCUCUUUUACCCGGGAUGAUAAUGACAGUACCGGGAGAAUAAGCUCCGGCUAACUCCGUG
RNAcentral lists this ribosomal RNA (433 nucleotides) under uncultured bacterium. Its description in RNAcentral is "partial 16S ribosomal RNA". It matches the Rfam family "Bacterial small subunit ribosomal RNA", at positions 29 to 507 of the family's 1533-position model. The record is from RNAcentral.